AAGGUCAAGUGAAGAAGGGCGCACGGUGAAUGCCUUGGCACUGGAAGCCGAUGAAGGACGCGACUAACCGCGAAAGUCUUCGGGGAGCCGUAAGUAGGCUUUGAUCCGGAGGUCUCCGAAUGGGGGAACCCAGCAUGUGCAGACAUGCUAUCCUUAAGUGAAUACAUAGCUUAAGGAAGGAACACGCAGUGAACUGAAACAUCUAAGUAGCUGCAGGAAGAGAAAGAAAUAUCGAUUUCCCAAGUAGCGGCGAGCGAACAGGAAAGAGCCCAAACCGUCAGAUUUAUCUGCCGGGGUUGUAGGACUGAGACAUGGCACUUCAGAGGAUAGCAGAAGCGUUUGGGAAAGCGCGCCAGAGAGGGUGAGAGCCCCGUAAGCGAAAUCCAAAGAAGGCCUAUCAGUAUCCUGAGUAGGGCGGGACACGUGAAAUCCCGUUUGAAUCCGCGAGGACCAUCUCGCAAGGCUAAAUACUAACCAGUGACCGAUAGUGAACCAGUACCGUGAGGGAAAGGUGAAAAGAACCCCGGGAGGGGAGUGAAAGAGAACCUGAAACCGUGUGCCUACAAGUAGUCAGAGCCCGUUAACGGGUAAUGGCGUGCCUUUUGUGGAAUGAACCGGCGAGUUGCGUUAGUCAGCAAGGUUAAGUCAGAAAAGACGGAGCCGUAGCGAAAGCGAGUCUGAAGAGGGCGAGCAGUUGGCUGACGCAGACCCGAAACCAAGUGACCUACCCAUGACCAGGUUGAAGGCGCGGUAAAACGCGCUGGAGGACCGAACCCACGUAAGUUGAAAAUUGCGGGGAUGAGUUGUGGGUAGCGGUGAAAUUCCAAACGAACUUGGAGAUAGCUGGUUCUCUCCGAAAUAGCUUUAGGGCUAGCCUCGCAAAGAGGAUGCUGGAGGUAGAGCUCUGUUUGGACUAGGGGCCCGUCAAGGGUUACUGAAUUCAGAUAAACUGCGAAUUCCAGACAUUUAUGUGCGGGAGUCAGACUGCGAGUGAUAAGAUCCGUAGUCGAAAGGGAAACAGCCCAGAUCACCAGUUAAGGUCCCAAAAUUCAUGCUAAGUGGAAAAGGAUGUGGAGUUGCGCAGACAACUAGGACGUUGGCUCAGAAGCAGCCAUCAUUCAAAGAGUGCGUAAUAGCUCACUAGUCGAGUGACGCCGCGCCGAAAAUUUACCGGGGCUAAGCAUGAUACCGAAACUGUGGAUGUGCAUUUAUGCACGUGGUAGGAGAGCGUUCUAGCGGCGGUGAAGCAUGACCGAGAGGACAUGUGGAGCUUCUAGAAGUGAGAAUGCCGGUAUGAGUAACGAAAGACAGGUGAGAAUCCUGUCCGCCGCAAGACUAAGGUUUCCUGGGGCAGGCUCGUCCGCCCAGGGUAAGUCGGGACCUAAGGCGAGGCCGAGAGGCGUAGUCGAUGGACAACAGGUUGAAAUUCCUGUACUGCACCGAAUCGUUAUGAGCGAUGGAGGGACGCAGGAGGCUAGCAGCGCGUGGUGCUGGAUACCACGUUCAAGCGUCAAGUCUGAGAGUGAGUCAAAUGCUUGCUCUCAUAAGGACAAGGCGUGAUGAGGAGCGAAAUUAAAGUAGCGAAGGCUGCGACGUCACACUGCCGAGAAAAGCUUCUAGCCAGAGACGGUGCACCCGUACCGCAAACCGACACAGGUAGUCGAGGAGAGUAUCCUCAGGUGAGCGAGAGAACUCUCGUUAAGGAACUCGGCAAAAUGGCCCCGUAACUUCGGGAGAAGGGGCGCUGGUCGCAAGAUCAGCCGCAGUGAAAAGGCCCAAAGCAACUGUUUAUCAAAAACACAGGCAUCUGCAAAAUCGUAAGAUGAAGUAUAGGUGCUGACACCUGCCCGGUGCUGGAAGGUUAAGAGGAGAGCUUAGCGCAAGCGAAGGUUUGAAUUGAAGCCCCAGUAAACGGCGGCCGUAACUAUAACGGUCCUAAGGUAGCGAAAUUCCUUGUCGGGUAAGUUCCGACCUGCACGAAAGGUGUAAUGAUUUGGGCACUGUCUCAACGAGAGACUCGGUGAAAUUAUAAUACCCGUGAAGAUGCGGGUUACCCGCGACAGGACGGAAAGACCCCAUGGAGCUUUACUGCAGUUUAAUAUUGGGUAUCUGUCAAGCAUGUACAGGAUAGGUAGGAGCCGGAGAAGAUAGGACGCCAGUCUUAUCUGAGGCGCUGUUGGGAUACUACCCUUGCUUGACGGAUGCUCUAACUCAGGCCUGUGAUCCAGGCCGAGGACAGUGUUUGACGGGCAGUUUGACUGGGGCGGUCGCCUCCUAAAGUGUAACGGAGGCGCCCAAAGGUUCCCUCAGAAUGGUUGGAAAUCAUUCGCAGAGUGUAAAGGUAAAAGGGAGCUUGACUGCGAGAGAGACAACUCGAGCAGGUACGAAAGUAGGGCUUAGUGAUCUGGUGGUACCGCAUGGAAGGGCCAUCACUCAACGGAUAAAAGCUACCCUGGGGAUAACAGGCUUAUCUCCCCCAAGAGUUCACAUCGACGGGGAGGUUUGGCACCUCGAUGUCGGCUCGUCGCAUCCUGGGGCUGAAGUCGGUCCCAAGGGUUGGGCUGUUCGCCCAUUAAAGCGGCACGCGAGCUGGGUUCAGAACGUCGUGAGACAGUUCGGUCCCUAUCCGUCGUGGGCGCAGGAAAUUUGAGAGGAGCUGUCCUUAGUACGAGAGGACCGGGAUGGACGCACCGCUGGUGUACCAGUUGUCUUGCCAAAGGCAUCGCUGGGUAGCUAUGUGCGGACGGGAUAAGCGCUGAAAGCAUCUAAGUGCGAAGCCCCCCUCAAGAUGAGAUUUCCCAUUUCUUCAAGAAAGUAAGACACCUCAGAGACGAUGAGGUAGAUAGGCCGGGAGUGGAAGAGCCGUGAGGCUUGGAGCGGACCGGUACUAAUCAGUCGAGGACUUGACCAAAAGAGCGAAGCAAUGAGGUUUUGACUUGGUAAAAGAUAUUCAGUUUUGAGCGUGCAAGCUCAAGCAAGAGUGCGGUGGC
This 2990-nucleotide ribosomal RNA is filed under the name Lactobacillus delbrueckii subsp. bulgaricus 2038. Its description in RNAcentral is "bacterial LSU rRNA". It matches the Rfam family "Bacterial large subunit ribosomal RNA". The record is from RNAcentral. Lineage: Bacteria; Bacillati; Bacillota; Bacilli; Lactobacillales; Lactobacillaceae.